UACGAAGGGGGCUAGCGUUGUUCGGAAUUACUGGGCGUAAAGCGCACGUAGGCGGAUCUGUAAGUAGGGGGUGAAAUCCCCGGGCUCAACCCGGGAACUGCCUUCUAGACUGCAGACCUUGAGAUCAGGAGAGGCGAGCGGAAUUCCGAGUGUAGAGGUGAAAUUCGUAGAUAUUCGGAGGAACACCAGUGGCGAAGGCGGCUCGCUGGACUGAUACUGACGCUGAGGUGCGAAAGCGUGGGGAGCAAACAGG
RNAcentral lists this ribosomal RNA (253 nucleotides) under uncultured bacterium. Its description in RNAcentral is "partial 16S ribosomal RNA". It matches the Rfam family "Bacterial small subunit ribosomal RNA", at positions 524 to 776 of the family's 1533-position model. The record is from RNAcentral.